CCUACGGGGUGCAGCAGUGGGGAAUAUUGGACAAUGGGCGAAAGCCUGAUCCAGCCAUGCCGCGUGUGUGAAGAAGGCCUUCGGGUUGUAAAGCACUUUCAGUGGGGAAGAAAGCCUUGGGGCUAAUACCCUCGAGGAAGGACAUCACCCACAGAAGAAGCACCGGCUAACUCCGUGCCAGCAGCCGCGGUAAUACGGAGGGUGCGAGCGUUAAUCGGAAUUACUGGGCGUAAAGCGCGCGUAGGCGGUCUGAUAAGCCGGUUGUGAAAGCCCCGGGCUCAACCUGGGAACGGCAUCCGGAACUGUCAGGCUAGAGUGCAGGAGAGGAAGGUAGAAUUCCCGGUGUAGCGGUGAAAUGCAUAGAGAUCGGGAGGAAUACCAGUGGCGAAGGCGGCCUUCUGGACUGACACUGACGCUGAGGUGCGAAAGCGUGGGUAGCAAACAGGAUUAGAGACCCCUGUAGUC
This 465-nucleotide ribosomal RNA is filed under the name Vreelandella stevensii. RNAcentral describes it as "partial 16S ribosomal RNA". It matches the Rfam family "Bacterial small subunit ribosomal RNA", at positions 338 to 795 of the family's 1533-position model. Lineage: Bacteria; Pseudomonadati; Pseudomonadota; Gammaproteobacteria; Oceanospirillales; Halomonadaceae. The record is from RNAcentral.